GGGAGGGGGUGACUAGUGACAGAGUUAGGGAGGGAAGGGGUGACUAGUUACAGAGUGAGGAAGGGGGUGACAAGUGACAGAGGGAGGGGUGACUAGGGACAGAGGGAGGGAUGGUGUGACUAGUGACAGUCACCACCUCCUUCACUCUGUCACUGUGUCACCCCCUUCCUCACUCUGUCACUUUGUCACCCCCUUCCUCACUCUCACUAGUCACCCACUCCCUUCCUCACUCUGUCACUAGUCACCCACUCACUCUGUCACUAGUCACCCCCUAUCUC
Molecule: non-coding RNA, 278 nt
Organism: Pelobates cultripes (western spadefoot toad)
Lineage: Eukaryota; Metazoa; Chordata; Amphibia; Anura; Pelobatidae
Source: the annotation of a GenBank genome assembly